UUUAAGCUUCAAACUGGGAUUAGAUACCCCACUAUUCCUAAACGUAAAUUGAUACCGAUCUACCAGAGUACUAUGAGCUUUUAGCUUAAAACUCAAAGAACUUGGCGGUGCCUCAUACACUUCAGGGGAACCUGUUUCAUAAUCGAUAGUCCACGCUAGACCUUACCUUCCUUAGAGAUAUUCAGUCUGUAUACCGUCGUCGUCAGGUAACUUUCCAAAAAAAAGAAGUUAGCAGCAAAGUUCAUUAGCUUUUACGUCAGAUCAAGGUGCAGCCCAUAAGAAGGAGAGAAUGGGUUACAAUUAUAACUCAUAAAUACGAAUAAGAAAGUGAAAUCUUUCUAUGAAGGAGGACUUGAAAGUAAUUUAAAAAAGAUAAUUUUUUUGAAUAUAUUGGCUCUGAGGCGUGCACACACCGCCCGUCACCCUCUGCAGUCAAA
This 437-nucleotide ribosomal RNA is filed under the name Planaxis sulcatus. RNAcentral's name for it is "partial 12S ribosomal RNA". It matches the Rfam family "Bacterial small subunit ribosomal RNA", at positions 755 to 1415 of the family's 1533-position model. Lineage: Eukaryota; Metazoa; Mollusca; Gastropoda; Planaxidae. The record is from RNAcentral.